UCUACAUCUAUCGCCGACUCGCCAUUCGUGAAGACGCGAACCCUCUCCGCAGCCGCAGCCGGCCAGUCGAGGCAUCGAGCAGCGCCGCUACCACCGCAACCCUCUCCGCAGCCGCAGCCGGCCAGUCACGCUCUCACCGUCACUCCGUUAGGCAGUCACCAACUCAUCUAACCAUCACUCCGUUAGGCAGUCACGAACUCAUCUCACCGUCACUCCGUUAGGCAGUCACCAACUCACCGCUGCCUUCUCCAGUCUCCACUGUUUUUUUUUUUUUUUUUUUUUUUUUUUUUUUUGCUCUGCAUUGUUUCGGGACUUUCAGCUCCAAAAUUCCAAGAUCCAGAUUCCAGAUUCAAGAUAUGUCAAAGUUGAGUUUGGAUCAUGUGAUUGAUUAGAAAAACAAGAUUCAAGAAAAAUAUAAUUGACUGUGU
Ipomoea nil (Japanese morning glory) is the source of this 428-nucleotide long non-coding RNA. RefSeq lists it as uncharacterized. NCBI's taxonomy places the organism in Eukaryota, Viridiplantae, Streptophyta, Magnoliopsida, Solanales, Convolvulaceae. The transcript is spliced from 3 exons. The record is from RefSeq and is a predicted model, not a curated record.